GACGAACGCUGGCGGCGUGCUUAACACAUGCAAGUCGAACGGAAAGGCCCUGCUUGCAGGGUACUCGAGUGGCGAACGGGUGAGUAACACGUGGGUGAUCUGCCCUGCACUUCGGGAUAAGCCUGGGAAACUGGGUCUAAUACCGGAUAGGAGCCAUUUUUAGUGUGAUGGUUGGAAAGUUUUUUCGGUGUAGGAUGAGCUCGCGGCCUAUCAGCUUGUUGGUGGGGUAAUGGCCUACCAAGGCGGCGACGGGUAGCCGGCCUGAGAGGGUGGACGGCCACAUUGGGACUGAGAUACGGCCCAGACUCCUACGGGAGGCAGCAGUGGCGAAUGUUGCACAAUGGGCGCCAGCCUGAUGCAGCGACGCCGCGUGGGGGAUGACGGCCUUCGGGUUGUAAACUCCUUUCGCUAGGGACGAAGCUUUUUGUGACGGUACCUAGAGAAGAAGCACCGGCUAACUACGUG
RNAcentral lists this ribosomal RNA (465 nucleotides) under uncultured bacterium. RNAcentral describes it as "partial 16S ribosomal RNA". It matches the Rfam family "Bacterial small subunit ribosomal RNA", at positions 28 to 507 of the family's 1533-position model. The record is from RNAcentral.